RNAcentral lists this ribosomal RNA (2586 nucleotides) under Enterobacter sp. EGD-HP1. RNAcentral's name for it is "bacterial LSU rRNA". It matches the Rfam family "Bacterial large subunit ribosomal RNA", at positions 375 to 2925 of the family's 2925-position model. The record is from RNAcentral. Lineage: Bacteria; Pseudomonadati; Pseudomonadota; Gammaproteobacteria; Enterobacterales; Enterobacteriaceae.
GUACACGAAAGCACACAGGUUGUGAACUCGAAGAGUAGGGCGGGACACGUGGUAUCCUGUCUGAAUAUGGGGGGACCAUCCUCCAAGGCUAAAUACUCCUGACUGACCGAUAGUGAACCAGUACCGUGAGGGAAAGGCGAAAAGAACCCCGGCGAGGGGAGUGAAAAAGAACCUGAAACCGUGUACGUACAAGCAGUGGGAGCACCUUCGUGGUGUGACUGCGUACCUUUUGUAUAAUGGGUCAGCGACUUAUAUUCUGUAGCAAGGUUAACCGUAUAGGGGAGCCGAAGGGAAACCGAGUCUUAACUGGGCGUUAAGUUGCAGGGUAUAGACCCGAAACCCGGUGAUCUAGCCAUGGGCAGGUUGAAGGUUGGGUAACACUAACUGGAGGACCGAACCGACUAAUGUUGAAAAAUUAGCGGAUGACUUGUGGCUGGGGGUGAAAGGCCAAUCAAACCGGGAGAUAGCUGGUUCUCCCCGAAAGCUAUUUAGGUAGCGCCUCGUGAAUUCAUCUUCGGGGGUAGAGCACUGUUUCGGCUAGGGGGCCAUCCCGGCUUACCAACCCGAUGCAAACUACGAAUACCGAAGAAUGUUAUCACGGGAGACACACGGCGGGUGCUAACGUCCGUCGUGAAGAGGGAAACAACCCAGACCGCCAGCUAAGGUCCCAAAGUCAUGGUUAAGUGGGAAACGAUGUGGGAAGGCACAGACAGCCAGGAUGUUGGCUUAGAAGCAGCCAUCAUUUAAAGAAAGCGUAAUAGCUCACUGGUCGAGUCGGCCUGCGCGGAAGAUGUAACGGGGCUAAACCAUGCACCGAAGCUGCGGCAGCGACGCUUAUGCGUUGUUGGGUAGGGGAGCGUUCUGUAAGCCGUUGAAGGUGUCCUGUGAGGGUGCUGGAGGUAUCAGAAGUGCGAAUGCUGACAUAAGUAACGAUAAAGCGGGUGAAAAGCCCGCUCGCCGGAAGACCAAGGGUUCCUGUCCAACGUUAAUCGGGGCAGGGUGAGUCGACCCCUAAGGCGAGGCCGAAAGGCGUAGUCGAUGGGAAACAGGUUAAUAUUCCUGUACUUGGUGUUACUGCGAAGGGGGGACGGAGAAGGCUAUGUUAGCCGGGCGACGGUUGUCCCGGUUUAAGCAUGUAGGCGGAACGAUUAGGUAAAUCCGGUCGUUUAUUAACGCUGAGGUGUGAUGACGAGGCACUACGGUGCUGAAGUAACAAAUGCCCUGCUUCCAGGAAAAGCCUCUAAGCAUCAGGUAACACGAAAUCGUACCCCAAACCGACACAGGUGGUCAGGUAGAGAAUACCAAGGCGCUUGAGAGAACUCGGGUGAAGGAACUAGGCAAAAUGGUGCCGUAACUUCGGGAGAAGGCACGCUGAUAUGUAGGUGAAGCCCCUGCGGGUGGAGCUGAAAUCAGUCGAAGAUACCAGCUGGCUGCAACUGUUUAUUAAAAACACAGCACUGUGCAAACACGAAAGUGGACGUAUACGGUGUGACGCCUGCCCGGUGCCGGAAGGUUAAUUGAUGGGGUUAGCGGCAACGCGAAGCUCUUGAUCGAAGCCCCGGUAAACGGCGGCCGUAACUAUAACGGUCCUAAGGUAGCGAAAUUCCUUGUCGGGUAAGUUCCGACCUGCACGAAUGGCGUAAUGAUGGCCAGGCUGUCUCCACCCGAGACUCAGUGAAAUUGAACUCGCUGUGAAGAUGCAGUGUACCCGCGGCAAGACGGAAAGACCCCGUGAACCUUUACUAUAGCUUGACACUGAACACUGGUCCUUGAUGUGUAGGAUAGGUGGGAGGCUUUGAAGCGUGGACGCCAGUCUGCGUGGAGCCGACCUUGAAAUACCACCCUUUAAUGGCUGGUGUUCUAACGUAGACCCGUAAUCCGGGUUGCGGACAGUGUCUGGUGGGUAGUUUGACUGGGGCGGUCUCCUCCCAAAGAGUAACGGAGGAGCACGAAGGUUAGCUAAUCCUGGUCGGACAUCAGGAGGUUAGUGCAAUGGCAUAAGCUAGCUUGACUGCGAGAGUGACGGCUCGAGCAGGUGCGAAAGCAGGUCAUAGUGAUCCGGUGGUUCUGAAUGGAAGGGCCAUCGCUCAACGGAUAAAAGGUACUCCGGGGAUAACAGGCUGAUACCGCCCAAGAGUUCAUAUCGACGGCGGUGUUUGGCACCUCGAUGUCGGCUCAUCACAUCCUGGGGCUGAAGUAGGUCCCAAGGGUAUGGCUGUUCGCCAUUUAAAGUGGUACGCGAGCUGGGUUUAGAACGUCGUGAGACAGUUCGGUCCCUAUCUGCCGUGGGCGCUGGAGAAUUGAGGGGGGCUGCUCCUAGUACGAGAGGACCGGAGUGGACGCAUCACUGGUGUUCGGGUUGUCAUGCCAAUGGCACUGCCCGGUAGCUAAAUGCGGAAAAGAUAAGUGCUGAAAGCAUCUAAGCACGAAACUUGCCCCGAGAUGAGUUCUCCCUGACCCUUUAAGGGUCCUGAAGGAACGUUGAAGACUACGACGUUGAUAGGUCGGGUGUGUAAGCGCAGCGAUGCGUUGAGCUAACCGAUACUAAUGAACCGUGAGGCUUAACCUUACAACGCCGAAGCUGUU